GAGGGUAUAGCUCAGUGGUAGAGUGCAUGCUUAGCAUGCACAAGGUCCUGGGUUCAAUCCCCACUGCCUCCA
RNAcentral lists this transfer RNA (72 nucleotides) under Camelus bactrianus (Bactrian camel). It matches the Rfam family "tRNA". From Rfam's summary of the family: Transfer RNA (tRNA) molecules are approximately 80 nucleotides in length. Their secondary structure includes four short double-helical elements and three loops (D, anti-codon, and T loops). Further hydrogen bonds mediate the characteristic L-shaped molecular structure. tRNAs have two regions of fundamental functional importance: the anti-codon, which is responsible for specific mRNA codon recognition, and the 3' end, to which the tRNAs corresponding amino acid is attached (by aminoacyl-tRNA synthetases). tRNAs cope with the degeneracy of the genetic code in two manners: having more than one tRNA (with a specific anti-codon) for a particular amino acid; and 'wobble' base-pairing, i.e. permitting non-standard base-pairing at the 3rd anti-codon position. Lineage: Eukaryota; Metazoa; Chordata; Mammalia; Artiodactyla; Camelidae. The record is from Rfam by way of RNAcentral. RNAcentral also lists the same sequence under 2 other names.